RNAcentral lists this ribosomal RNA (639 nucleotides) under uncultured bacterium. Its description in RNAcentral is "bacterial SSU rRNA". It matches the Rfam family "Bacterial small subunit ribosomal RNA", at positions 8 to 693 of the family's 1533-position model. The record is from RNAcentral.
AGAGUUUGAUCCUGGCUCAGAACGAACGCUGGCGGCAUGCCUAACACAUGCAAGUCGAACGAACCCUUCGGGGUUAGUGGCGCACGGGUGCGUAACGCGUGGGAAUCUGCCCUUUGCUUCGGAAUAACAGUUAGAAAUGACUGCUAAUACCGGAUGAUGUCUUCGGACCAAAGAUUUAUCGGCAAAGGAUGAGCCCGCGUAGGAUUAGGUAGUUGGUGGGGUAAAGGCCUACCAAGCCGACGAUCCUUAGCUGGUCUGAGAGGAUGAUCAGCCACACUGGGACUGAGACACGGCCCAGACUCCUACGGGAGGCAGCAGUGGGGAAUAUUGGACAAUGGACGCAAGUCUGAUCCAGCAAUGCCGCGUGAGUGAUGAAGGCCUUAGGGUUGUAAAGCUCUUUUACCAGGGAUGAUAAUGACAGUACCUGGAGAAUAAGCUCCGGCUAACUCCGUGCCAGCAGCCGCGGUAAUACGGAGGGAGCUAGCGUUGUUCGGAAUUACUGGGCGUAAAGCGCACGUAGGCGGUUACUCAAGUCAGAGGUGAAAGCCCGGGGCUCAACCCCGGAACUGCCUUUGAAACUAGGUAACUAGAAUCCUGGAGAGGUGAGUGGAAUUCCGAGUGUAGCGGUGAAAUGCGUAG